RNAcentral lists this long non-coding RNA (1260 nucleotides) under Hordeum vulgare. RNAcentral describes it as "long non-coding RNA (HVUL_LNC009733)". The record is from RNAcentral. Lineage: Eukaryota; Viridiplantae; Streptophyta; Magnoliopsida; Poales; Poaceae.
UAGAAAGUCAUGCUUGAGGUUAAAUCUAUGCGGUUAUGUGGCAAAUUUGGAAUCUUUGUUUAACUUCCGGUUCUAGAUAACCUAAAGUAAAACUAAUUAAAACAUUCGUGAUCUCAUUCACCGAUUGAGUACACGGUGGGGAUAGGUCUGACGUAAGUAGGUGGUUAGGAUCAUUCAUUUGAUCAUCAUUAAUUCACGUCCGUUAUGCGUAGAUCAUCCCCCUCUUUUAUUCUUGUACCCGUAAGUUAGCCACCUCAAAUAAAUGCUUAGUCGCUUGCUGCAGCCUCACGACUUAACCAUACCUCACCCAUUAAGCUUUGUUAGUCUUGAUACCUUUGGGAAUGAGAUUGCUGAGUCCGUGUGGCUCACAGAUUACACCAACACCAGUUGCAGGUACAAGUAAAGUGAUGUUAAGAUGUGAGCGCGAUGUUUGUGCUAUUGGAGUUUAUUCUUCUUCUUCAUCUAUCUAGGUCAGGUUCCAGGCAAGUAGUCUGGGAUAGCAAGGAUGGACAUCGUUCUUUUAUCAUUUGGUUCUGUCCGUAGUCGCAGCCUGCUCUUCUUCAUGAUAACUGUAUAUUGUUGUAUUGAUGUGAUAUUGAUGUUGCUUGUGGCGAGUGUAAGGAAAUUCCAUAAACUCAUCUCUUGAGUACAUGCACUUGCAACCAUAUCCAUUCUUGCGAAACGACGAGAUGCGUUUCUAUCCCUGUUGAGGCCCUUGCACCAAAAGAAGGAUAGGAUCGCAUCUUGGGCGUUACACCCAUAACCACUACAAGCGUUUUAGGAGCGUUCAUUUAUGGAACAUAACACCGGUAAACGAAAUUAAGGCGACAAGGAUGGAACAAAACACCAGGCUAGUAGGUCAGGCCUUCCACCUUUUACCAAGUAUAUAGGUGCAUUAAAUUAAAUAGGAACAAUAAGGUGAUAUAACAAGGAACCCAUGUUUCCGCAUGGAAGCAACUGCACCUGCAACUAGAAACGCUACCGAAAGGCUGAGCCAGCGAUAACAUAGCCAAACAGUGGUUGCUGGGUUGUGGAAAGGUUUGAGCCUAUUCAUGGCAAAGUUUGGAGGCUUAUUUAAAUUGGUGCUAGGAACCGAGAAAUAGAGAAAGAAACGAGACAACUAGCAUGGCAAUGAUAGUAAUGAUAUCGUGUGAAAUGGUCAUCUUGCCUGUGAUCCCGCUUGGAGGAAGAACGAAUCCAUGAAGCAGACGAACCAACGUAGUCGAACGAAUCCUCACAUUUUGACACGCUUGCGGAACU